Unclassified non-coding RNA from Macaca fascicularis (crab-eating macaque), 148 nucleotides. It matches the Rfam family "Metazoan signal recognition particle RNA". From Rfam's summary of the family: The signal recognition particle (SRP) is a universally conserved ribonucleoprotein. Lineage: Eukaryota; Metazoa; Chordata; Mammalia; Primates; Cercopithecidae. The record is from Ensembl.
GCUGGGCAUGGUGGCGGGUGCCUGUAAUCCCAGCUACUAGGGAGGCUGAGGCAGAAGAAUUGCUUGAACCCAGGAGGCAGAAGUUGCAUUGAGCAGACAUUGUGCCAUUGCACUCCAGCCUGGGCAACAGAGCAAGACUCUGUCUCAA